Non-coding RNA from Pelobates cultripes (western spadefoot toad), 232 nucleotides. The record is from the annotation of a GenBank genome assembly. NCBI's taxonomy places the organism in Eukaryota, Metazoa, Chordata, Amphibia, Anura, Pelobatidae.
CUUCCAUAACGUCACAUAGCUUCCAUUACGGUUCCACCAUUCCAAACGAAAUCAAUGCAUCAAUGAACACACUGUAUCUAGCUCAUAUGGUAUAAACAUGUCAAUUUACCAAGUCCCAUGUGGGAAGAAGAAUGAGGUUUGAGGUGCAGAUUAUGUUUUCUGGGCACUUUGGAUCAUCAUGUGUGAAUUAAUUUCCAAGAGAUAAGUGUAUGGCUAGUGUGUGGGAUUCCAC